UGGGGAAUCUUGCGCAAUGGGCGAAAGCCUGACGCAGCGACGCCGCGUGAGUGAUGAAGGCCUUCGGGUUGUAAAGCUCUUUGGGGAGAGACGAAUAAGCUUUGGCUAAUAUCCAGGGUGAUGACGGUAUCUCCUUAGCAAGCACCGGCUAACUCUGUGCCAGCAGCCGCGGUAAGACAGAGGGUGCAAACGUUUUUCGGAAUUACUGGGCGUAAAGCGCAUGUAGGCGGCCUAGCAGUUCGGAUGUGAAAGCCCUCGGCUCAACCGAGGAAGUGCAUUCGAAACCGAAAGGCUUGAGUCACGGAGAGGGUAGUGGAAUUCUCGGUGUAGAGGUGAAAUUCGUAGAUAUCGAGAGGAACACCCGUGGCGAAGGCGGCUUUCUGGACAGCGAUUGACGCUGAGACGCGAAAGCGUGGGGAGCAAACA
RNAcentral lists this ribosomal RNA (426 nucleotides) under uncultured bacterium. RNAcentral describes it as "bacterial SSU rRNA". It matches the Rfam family "Bacterial small subunit ribosomal RNA", at positions 355 to 774 of the family's 1533-position model. The record is from RNAcentral.